This 397-nucleotide ribosomal RNA is filed under the name Opitutus sp. VeGlc2. RNAcentral's name for it is "bacterial SSU rRNA". It matches the Rfam family "Bacterial small subunit ribosomal RNA", at positions 1121 to 1517 of the family's 1533-position model. The record is from RNAcentral. Lineage: Bacteria; Pseudomonadati; Verrucomicrobiota; Opitutia; Opitutales; Opitutaceae.
UCAUUAAGUUGGGCACUCUAGGGAGACAAACCCUCUUUGAGGGUGGGAAGGUGGGGAUGACGUCAAGUCAGGAUGGCCCUUACGGCUAGGGCUGCACACGUACUACAAUGCCCGGUACAGAGGGACGCAAUACCGCGAGGUGGAGCAAAUCCUCAAAACCGGGCCCAGUUCAGAUUGUAGUCUGCAACUCGACUACAUGAAGUUGGAAUCGCUAGUAAUGGCGUAUCAGCUACGACGCCGUGAAUACGUUCCCGGGCCUUGUACACACCGCCCGUCACGUCAUGAAAGCCGGUUUCGCCCGAAGUGCGUUUGCCAACCAGCAAUGGAGGCGGCGCCCUAAGGUGAGGCUGGUGAUUGGGACGAAGUCGUAACAAGGUAACCGUAGGGGAACCUGCGG